RNAcentral lists this ribosomal RNA (490 nucleotides) under uncultured bacterium. Its description in RNAcentral is "partial 16S ribosomal RNA". It matches the Rfam family "Bacterial small subunit ribosomal RNA", at positions 30 to 507 of the family's 1533-position model. The record is from RNAcentral.
AUUGAACGCUGGCGGCAGGCCUAACACAUGCAAGUCGAACGGUAACAGGAAGAAGCUUGCUUCUUUGCUGACGAGUGGCGGACGGGCGAGUAAUGUCUGGGAAACUGCCUGAUGGAGGGGGAUAACUACUGGAAACGGUAGCUAAUACCGCAUAACGUCGCAAGACCAAAGAGGGGGACCUUCGGGCCUCUUGCCAUCGGAUGUGCCCAGAUGGGAUUAGCUAGUAGGUGGGGUAACGGCUCACCUAGGCGACGAUCCCUAGCUGGUCUGAGAGGAUGACCAGCCACACUGGAACUGAGACACGGUCCAGACUCCUACGGGAGGCAGCAGUGGGGAAUAUUGCACAAGGGGCGCAAGCCUGAUGCAGCCAUGCCGCGUGUAUGAAGAAGGCCUUCGGGUUGUAAAGUACUUUCAGCGGGGAGGAAGGGAGUAAAGUUAAUACCUUUGCUCAUUGACGUUACCCGCAGAAGAAGCACCGGCUAACUCCGUG